Molecule: ribosomal RNA, 253 nt
Filed under: uncultured bacterium
Lineage: Bacteria
Description: partial 16S ribosomal RNA
Rfam family: Bacterial small subunit ribosomal RNA
Source: RNAcentral
UACGUGGGGUGCAAGCGUUAAUCGGAAUUACUGGGCGUAAAGCGUGCGCAGGCGGUUUUGUAAGUCUGUCGUGAAAGCCCCGGGCUCAACCUGGGAAUUGCGAUGGAGACUGCAAGGCUUGAAUCUGGCAGAGGGGGGUAGAAUUCCACGUGUAGCAGUGAAAUGCGUAGAGAUGUGGAGGAACACCGAUGGCGAAGGCAGCCCCCUGGGUCAAGAUUGACGCUCAUGCACGAAAGCGUGGGGAGCGAACAGG